UACGGGGGGGGCAAGCGUUGUUCGGAAUUACUGGGCGUAAAGGGCUCGUAGGUGGCCAACUAAGUCAGAUGUGAAAUCCCUCGGCUUAACCGGGGAACUGCGUCUGAUACUGGAUGGCUUGAGUUUGGGAGAGGGACGCGGAAUUCCAGGUGUAGCGGUGAAAUGCGUAGAUAUCUGGAGGAACACCGGUGGCGAAGGCGGCUUUCUGGACAGUAACCGACGCUGAGGCACGAAAGCUAGGGGAGCAAACAGG
RNAcentral lists this ribosomal RNA (253 nucleotides) under uncultured bacterium. RNAcentral's name for it is "partial 16S ribosomal RNA". It matches the Rfam family "Bacterial small subunit ribosomal RNA", at positions 524 to 776 of the family's 1533-position model. The record is from RNAcentral.